This 5412-nucleotide long non-coding RNA is filed under the name Chlamydomonas reinhardtii. RNAcentral's name for it is "long non-coding RNA (CREI_LNC001072)". The record is from RNAcentral. Lineage: Eukaryota; Viridiplantae; Chlorophyta; Chlorophyceae; Chlamydomonadales; Chlamydomonadaceae.
ACAAUCUGACGCUCCGACAGCGGCCUGCACUCAUCAAGCAGCUGGAGGAAGAGAAGAAGAAGCUGGAGCAGGAGCAUGCGGCGGCUGCUCCGCCACCACGCGAGUGGGAGGCGGACUCUGCUGCAUUCAAGGAGGCUGUCAGUGACCUGGCCGAGAGCGAGAUCAAGAAGAUCACCAGUGAAAUCGAGGUAGAGUGAUUGUGGUUGGGCAUGUGUAAGGCAGUCGGGGUAUAGGGCAGUGCCACGGCAGGCUGACUGUUGCGCUGCGGAAGUGUGCGCGGCGUUCACUAAUUUUGGGCUUCAUUGCAGGGCCUGGUGCUGGACUACAACAGCCUGAAGGUCAUAACGGAGAAGCUGGCGGGGAGGAAGAAGGAGCAGAGGUAUGCCAUCAAGGAGAAGCAGCGCGUGAAGGGGCAGCUUAGACAGCAGUGGGGCCGCUUGGCUGCCUGGUGCCGUGUGGACGCUGCAGGGCAGCAGGGACGGGAGGAGAAGGCACGCAACAAAAAGAUCUUGGAAGGGGGCUUGGCGGCGGUGCUUCGGGGGACGUUUCCAUGGGCCAGCGAUUCUGGGGCUGGAUCCAGCGGAGGGCGAGCAGUCGCUAGCCUUGUGCGCAGCUACAACCAGCGUGCUAGGGCGAAGGAGGAGCUGCGCUUGAUUGAGGCAGAGGUUGAGCGGGGCUGCGCCUACUACGAGCGCCGUGUGAGGAUUCUGAAAGCGGCGCAGGAAACAAGUGCGCCAGGCUUGGGGCUGCUGCUUAAGCCUCACCUUUCCCGCUGCGAGUUGAUGCUGAAAUCAUUUCAGGGACUGCAGCGCGGAGAUGUGCCGGACGACACUAGCCUUUCUGUGGAUACCGAGUAGGGUAGGCAUGCUGUUGUGCGCCGGCUGGCUUUGGUCGAGGUCGGCCGAUGGUGCUGUAAGUCGCAGAAUAGCAUUGAACAAGCAUACAAGUAAUGUUGGCAAGGCCGGCGGGGCCAGGCGGAGUAUUUGAGUUGGGCGGGUGUGCUCAGACAUGUCCGCUAGGGCGGGGGUUCGGGCGUGUCCCAGCCGGCACCCGGUUUGGUCGAGGUCGGCCGAUGGUGCUGUAAAUCGCAGAAUAGCAUUGAACAAGCAUACAAGUAAUGUUGGCAAGGCCGGCGGGGCCAGGCGGAGUAUUUGAGUUGGGCGGGUGUGCUCAGACAUGUCCGCUAGGGCGGGGUUGUGGCGGGUCGAGCUAUGGGCGGCUCCCCAGGGACCUUUUUGCACCGGGCUGGGGAGGGCAGAAAAGACCGAAAGCUCUAGGGGCUGGGGACCUAGGCAUCUCCCCAGGAACAAUUUGUAAUCAACCGCGAUGGCAGCACAGCUCCCCCGGGCCUCAAAAGCGUGCUGCCAUUGCCCGGCUUUCGCUCGCUGCCCAUCGCGCGCCCGGCACUCUCCUUCACUACCACUUGGCACCCCUCGCCAGCCAUAGUAAGCAGCCCCUGUACACAUAUGCACUAUACACUACCCCGCUACACAUGAUAUAGCUCCCCGGCACUAGUGGGGCCACCUCGACCAUGCUUAACAUGUCUGCGGCGACAACAUGAAAGAGUGGAAAGACAUCUACAAAAGUGACACAGUUGAAACCUCAUUAUUUAGGCGCAGUCGUGGUGGACGCAGGGGUGGCAUUGCAGCGGGCACUGGCGGCCGCCGUGGACGCAGCGAAGCGCAGCUAAGUGUAGGUGGUCAUUACACCGUCCACGAUCAUAAUGGUGUUGUAGAACAGGACGACGAGGAAGGAGCAGCCUACGUUCAACAUGCGGCGCCUCACACGCUCCCCGACGUUGAUAGCGACACCCUCAGCUCAGACCCCGCAGACAGCUCAGACGACGAUGGUGAGGGGGCCGGAGGCGCUGAGCCGAGGGGGCAGGAGACAAAAUAUCCGCUGCCAUACGAUAGCAGCGCUGUCGUGGAAGACUUCUUCCGCAGCGUCACAGCGGCUGAUAAGGUGUGCAGCGAACUGCGCACCGCGACCCAGAAGGUGCUGCAGUGCAGUGCGGACUUCGAGGCUGCCAGCACGGCGUGCCCUGUGUGUGGCAAGCCCGGAGAUCCCAAGGGCAUGCCCCCUUUCAAAGUCACAGUAGUGACCUGGGACCAGCCCGUGAGCAUUGAUGUGCCACACGUGACCUGCAGCAGCUGCAUGCGUGGGUACACCCUGCGGCCCACUGUGCUCGGCUGCCUGCCCGAUACCAUUGUAUCGUGGGAUUUGCUUCGGCAACGUGACGGCAAUGUCAUCCUCUGGUGGCAGACCAGCCUUCUACAGCAGUUCACCAGCCUACAAUACUACAACGGGCACCUGGGCAUGGACCGCUUUUGUGCGGCUCUCAUGGCCAACUGGCAGGAGAACGGCUGUGAUAGCCAGGGGCUUACGCUGACGCAGCUGAGGCAGCGCCUUAGUUCUACAUCGCAGCGGUACCGAUUUCUGCGCGGGCUAGUGGAGGACCUGCCGGAACAGCUUCCGGGCUGGCCCGCAGGAGCCCUCAACGCAUGCGCCUGCUGCGGUGAUGCCGAGGGUUGGCAUGGUACUGGCGCGGGCAGCAGCAGCGGCGGCGGCGGCGGCGGUGCUGCCGGUGGCGCGACCACGGCCGCAGCGCCCCUGGCGGAUCUGGCGCACAGGGCCCGGGGGCAGGAUGGGCCGGUGGCUGAGGCGGCGGCGCCAGACGCACCGAGCGCAGGUGCCGGCAUGGGCAGCAGCAGCGGCGGCGGCGGCGGCGGUGCUGCUGGCGAUGCGACCACGGCCGCCGCGCCUCUGGCGGAUCUGGCGCACAGGGCCCGGGGGCAGGACGGGCCGGUGGCUAAGGCGGCGGCGCCAGGCGCGCCCAGCGCAGGCGCCGGCAUGGGCAGCAGCAGCGGCGGCGGCGGCGGCGGUGCUGCCGGUGGCGCGACCACGGCCGCAGCGCCCCUGGCGGAUCUGGCGCACAGGGCCCGGGGGCAGGAUGGGCCGGUGGCUGAGGCGGCGGCGCCAGACGCACCGAGCGCAGGUGCCGGCAUGGGCAGCAGCAGCGGCGGCGGCGGCGGCGGUGCUGCUGGCGAUGCGACCACGGCCGCCGCGCCUCUGGCGGAUCUGGCGCACAGGGCCCGGGGGCAGGAUGGGCCGGUGGCUAAGGCGGCGGCGCCAGGCGCGCCCAGCGCAGGCGCCGGCAUGGGCAGCAGCAGCGGCGGCGGCGGCGGCGGUGCUGCCGGCGAUGCGACCACGGCCGCCGCGCCUCUGGCGGAUCUGGCGCACAGGGCCCGGGGGCAGGAUGGGCCGGUGGCUGAGGCGGCGGCGCCAGGCGCGCCGAGCGCAGGCGCCGGCAUGGGCAGCAGCAGCGGCGGCGGCGGCGGCGGUGCUGCCGGCGAUGCGACCACGGCCGCCGCGCCUCUGGCGGAUCUGGCGCACAGGGCCCGGGGGCAGGAUGGGCCGGUGGCUGAGGCGGCGGCGCCAGGCGCGCCGAGCGCAGGCGCCGGCAUGGGCAGCAGCAGCGGCGGCGGCGGCGGCGGUGCUGCCGGCAGCGGCGGCGCGAGCCCUUCACUUGGGUUCGCGUGGCGGCCAAUGCUGGCGGCCGCUGAGCCGGCUGGUCGAGGCCCUCCUAUCUUUCAUACUGGCGCGUUCGAUUGCAACUUCAAGCUAAGCCUGUUUAAGAAGAAGGGACUCACCCACAAGUACGGCCUCGACUACCGCCAACUGUCGCGCCGGCGGUACACCCUGGGCAAUGCAUACGUGAGGGGCUUUGAGCCGCCCAAGGGGUCUGCGGACGUAGGUCGCAAUGCGGACUGCUCCAGCUUCACCGCGGACAAGGUGCUGGCCAAGGAGGAGGCCGGGGUAAGAGGCAAGGCCAGGGGUGAGAUCAUAGAUUUGCUUUUCCCGCUACGCCGCUGUGCUGCUAUCCCGUGAUGUUGAGCUUGUCGCUGAAACGCCACGCGACCCUCGCUGCAGAAGCUUGUGACUGCAGCUGGCGUGGUCCUGUGUCGGCAUGGUAUGCUACUUCGCCUCGUCAACCUCUUUCACGGGGAACGUCACAUGUACGCGACGGCGGCGGCGGCGUCCAUCCUGGCUGCGGGAACCGCUGUGCAGUUCUGGUGGUACGAUAUUGCCUGCCGCUGGAGCAAGUCGUGGCAGAAGUGGCACCAAGCUCUGGACCCGUCAACGGCGUGGCUGGGCGUCGCAGCGGCCAUGGUCAGCCUCGUGCCGCCGUUCCACAGCUAUGCCCACAGGUGUGCUUACGGGGAGGGGGCGGGCGUUCGGGGCAUGUAGGUUGCAAAGUACUCUAGCUGCUAUCUUACUCCGCAUCCCUUCAACCAUGUGCCUGCAGCUACGAGUGCCAGAAGACUUUCGGGCACCAAGGGCAAACGGGGGCAGGGCGGGGCACAGGAGAGAUCGUCGAAAUCUUCAACUCGCAGGUCGGGAAGCAGGGCAAGGUGCUGCGUUACACGUCGCCUGCGCACCGUGAGAGUGUUCUGGAGGAUGUGGGGCGCCGCUACUGCCGCCAGGUAAGGCUUUGUCGAGUGUCGAGGGUAGGCAGGCGGCAGGUUAGGCAGGCGCUCAUUCUGUGUGCCGUGAUGUGCAGGUCGAGCUUGGCCUGCCCGCUCGGGUUUACCGCAUGCGGUUGCGGGCCCAGGCAGCACAUGAUGCAGCGCAGGAUCGGAUUGAGACUCUGGAGGCCACGCUGACGCCGCAACAGGUGCGACUGGACUUCCCUGUAGACUCGUGUUACCUUGCUUACGGUUUCCAUGUGCCCAGCAGGUCGAGAUGGCAUGUGCCGGGCAUGCCGCUCAGCGCUCCCAGCAGCGGCAUGACCAGCCCAAACGACACGCCAACGCGGAUGCAGUGGCAGGCGAGCCAGGGUGGAAGGCAGUGUAUGCCCGCUGCCGCCUGGCGCUGAUGAAGCUGCAGCGUCUGGACACGGUAGACAACCCGGCCGACCCCGUGCCUCUCAGGUGCGCAAGCGGUGAAAGCCUUAUCUGCAUGCCUUACUUUCUUGCUUGGAUUGCAGUCGCUGAUGCCAUAUGUUGCGUGGGUGCAGCGUUCUGGUUGCCGGAGGUGACAAUCUGACGCUCCGACAGCGGCCUGCACUCAUCAAGCAGCUGGAGGAAGAGAAGAAGAAGCUGGAGCAGGAGCAUGCGGCGGCUGCUCCGCCACCACGCGAGUGGGAGGCGGACUCUGCUGCAUUCAAGGAGGCUGUCAGUGACCUGGCCGAGAGCGAGAUCAAGAAGAUCACCAGUGAAAUCGAGGUAGAGUGAUUGUGGUUGGGCAUGUGUAAGGCAGUCGGGGUAUAGGGCAGUGCCACGGCAGGCUGACUGUUGCGCUGCGGAAGUGUGCGCGGCGUUCACUAAUUUUGGGCUUCAUUGCAGGGCCUGGUGCUGGACUACAACAGCCUGAAGGUCAUAACGGAGAAGCUGGCGGGGAGGAAGAAGGAGC